AAGAGCGAGCCACAUGGGAAGGUAUAUAUUAUUUCCAUAGUGGAGCCUUUUUAUUUUUGCUCCUCAGUCUCAUAUUGGUGUCUAGCUUUUAUGUAUAGGCUACUGUACACAUUUUAUGUUUCAGAUUGUUGUCAUUCACUUGCAAGGGGAGAUUCCAGUGCGUCCAGAGGUCUGGGCAAAAAUAAAAAACAACACGAGGGACUCCAUGUUCGUGAAGGAGUUGGCUGUGGCGUUUUGGGGCACCGACACCUUAGGGGAAAGGAGCCUGACUGGAAAGGAAUGCCCCACCACCAAGACCACCAGGCAGCCUCUAACAAUUUGCUUCAAGCAGUGGCUGUACGAGAAAUACGUGGAGGACCAAGAAAUGCUGGCCGGAUUGGCAAAGACCGGAAGAUACAUAACAGAGAAGAUAAUGGAUAUUAACAAGAAAAAAAAAAAAA
Molecule: long non-coding RNA, 440 nt
Organism: Gymnodraco acuticeps
Lineage: Eukaryota; Metazoa; Chordata; Actinopteri; Perciformes; Bathydraconidae
Exons: 2
Source: RefSeq, a predicted model, not a curated record